UACGGGGGGGGUAAGCGUUGUUCGGAAUUACUGGGCGUAAAGGGCUCGUAGGCGGCCAACUAAGUCAUACGUGAAAUCCCUCAGCUUAACUGGGGAACUGCGUGUGAUACUGGAUGGCUUGGAUUUGGGAGAGGGAUGCGGAAUUCCAGGUGUAGCGGUGAAAUGCGUAGAUAUCUGGAGGAACACCGGUGGCGAAGGCGACAUCCUGGACCAAUAUUGACGCUGAGGAGCGAAAGCCAGGGGAGCAAACGGG
This 253-nucleotide ribosomal RNA is filed under the name uncultured bacterium. RNAcentral describes it as "partial 16S ribosomal RNA". It matches the Rfam family "Bacterial small subunit ribosomal RNA", at positions 524 to 776 of the family's 1533-position model. The record is from RNAcentral.